UACGAAGGGGGCUAGCGUUGCUCGGAAUUACUGGGCGUAAAGGGAGCGUAGGCGGAUAGUUUAGUCAGAGGUGAAAGCCCAGGGCUCAACCUUGGAAUUGCCUUUGAUACUGGCUAUCUUGAGUGUGGGAGAGGUAUGUGGAACUCCGAGUGUAGAGGUGAAAUUCGUAGAUAUUCGGAAGAACACCAGUGGCGAAGGCGACA
RNAcentral lists this ribosomal RNA (203 nucleotides) under uncultured bacterium. Its description in RNAcentral is "partial 16S ribosomal RNA". It matches the Rfam family "Bacterial small subunit ribosomal RNA", at positions 524 to 726 of the family's 1533-position model. The record is from RNAcentral.